Molecule: ribosomal RNA, 512 nt
Filed under: uncultured Anoxybacillus sp.
Lineage: Bacteria; Bacillati; Bacillota; Bacilli; Caryophanales; Anoxybacillaceae
Description: bacterial SSU rRNA
Rfam family: Bacterial small subunit ribosomal RNA
Source: RNAcentral
GUAUCCUGGCUCAGGACGAACGCUGGCGGCGUGCCUAAUACAUGCAAGUCGAGCGGACGAAUCGAAAGCUUGCUUUUGAUUCGUUAGCGGCGGACGGGUGAGUAACACGUGGGCAACCUGCCCUGUAGACGGGGAUAACACCGAGAAAUCGGUGCUAAUACCGGAUAACACGAAAUGUCGCAUGACGUUUCGUUGAAAGACGGCGCAAGCUGUCGCUACAGGAUGGGCCCGCGGCGCAUUAGCUAGUUGGUGAGGUAACGGCUCACCAAGGCGACGAUGCGUAGCCGACCUGAGAGGGUGAUCGGCCACACUGGGACUGAGACACGGCCCAGACUCCUACGGGAGGCAGCAGUAGGGAAUCUUCCGCAAUGGACGAAAGUCUGACGGAGCAACGCCGCGUGAGCGAAGAAGGCCUUCGGGUCGUAAAGCUCUGUUGUUAGGGAAGAACAAGUAGCGCAGUAACUGGCGUUACCGUGACGGUACCUAACGAGAAAGCCACGGCUAACUACGUG